RNAcentral lists this ribosomal RNA (465 nucleotides) under uncultured bacterium. RNAcentral describes it as "partial 16S ribosomal RNA". It matches the Rfam family "Bacterial small subunit ribosomal RNA", at positions 28 to 507 of the family's 1533-position model. The record is from RNAcentral.
GACGAACGCUGGCGGCGUGCUUAACACAUGCAAGUCGUACGGUAAGGCCCUUUCGGGGGUACACGAGUGGCGAACGGGGGCGUAACACGUGAGUAACCUGCCCACAACUUUGGGAUAACGCUAGGAAACUGGUGCUAAUACUGGAAAUGUGCUCCUGCUGCAUGGUGGGGGUUGGAAAGCUCCGGGGGUUGUGGGUGGACUCGCGGGCUAUCAGCUUGUUGGUGGGGUAGUGGCGUACCAAGGCGGCGGCGGGUAGCCGGCCUGAGAGGGUGAGCGGCCACAUUGGGUUUGAGAGACGGCCCAGACGCCUACGGGAGGCAGCAGGGGGGAAUAUUGCACAAUGGGCGCAAGCCUGAUGCAGCAACGCCGCGUGCGGGAUGACGGCCUUCGGGUUGUAAACCGCUUUCAGCAGGGACGAAGCUUUUUGUGACGGUACCUGCAGAAGAAGCACCGGCUAACUACGUG